AAAUUGAAGAGUUUGAUCAUGGCUCAGAUUGAACGCUGGCGGCAGGCCUAACACAUGCAAGUCGAACGGUAACAGGAAGCAGCUUGCUGUUUCGCUGACGAGUGGCGGACGGGUGAGUAAUGUCUGGGAAACUGCCUGAUGGAGGGGGAUAACUACUGGAAACGGUAGCUAAUACCGCAUAACGUCGCAAGACCAAAGAGGGGGACCCUCGGGCCUCUUGCCAUCGGAUGUGCCCAGAUGGGAUUAGCUAGUAGGUGGGGUAACGGCUCACCUAGGCGACGAUCCCUAGCUGGUCUGAGAGGAUGACCAGCCACACUGGAACUGAGACACGGUCCAGACUCCUACGGGAGGCAGCAGUGGGGAAUAUUGCACAAUGGGCGCAAGCCUGAUGCAGCCAUGCCGCGUGUAUGAAGAAGGCCUUCGGGUUGUAAAGUACUUUCAGCGGGGAGGAAGGGAGUAAAGUUAAUACCUUUGCUCAUUGACGUUACCCGCAGAAGAAGCACCGGCUAACUCCGUGCCAGCAGCCGCGGUAAUACGGAGGGUGC
Molecule: ribosomal RNA, 545 nt
Filed under: Escherichia coli
Lineage: Bacteria; Pseudomonadati; Pseudomonadota; Gammaproteobacteria; Enterobacterales; Enterobacteriaceae
Description: bacterial SSU rRNA
Rfam family: Bacterial small subunit ribosomal RNA
Source: RNAcentral